UCUGACUUUCAUCUUGCAGGAGGAUGGAAUAGGCAUGAUCCAUAUUUGGAAGUGGGCUCAUCAUGAGGAUGUUGCCUCUUGCAUGUGCAUACACAUCAUUCAAUCCCAUUAGAAAUUGGAUGACUCUCUGAUCCUCUAGGAACUUGGCUACCUUCUUCUUCCCUUCACACACACAGGUACAAGUGCAUCCUAGAUGUGAGUUCAGGGAAUCUAACUCAUCCCAUAACUUUUUCAGAGUUGUGAAGUAUCCUGCAAUACUGUUGUUUCCCUGAACUGUCUUAGUAACUUCCUUUUGUAGGUGGUAGAGCUUGGCUCCAUUGGAUUGUCCAAAUCUAUGUUCAAGACUAUUCCAAAGUUCUUUUGCAGAUUUGGAAUAGAUUACACUGUCUCCUAUCUCUUUGGUUAGAGAAUUUAAGAACCAUGAGGUUACCAUGUCAUUGCACCUACUCCAUUGUGCAUGAUCCUUUGAAUCCAAGGCAGGCUCAUCACAAAUCCCAUUGAUGAAUCCCAGCUUGUUCUUGGCUGACAAUGCAAUCAGCAUUGACCUUCUCCAUCCUGGGAAUCCUCUUCCAUCAAAAGGUGAGGUCACAAGAGUCAUC
This 599-nucleotide long non-coding RNA is filed under the name Nicotiana tabacum (common tobacco). Its description in RNAcentral is "long non-coding RNA (NTAB_LNC010636)". The record is from RNAcentral. Lineage: Eukaryota; Viridiplantae; Streptophyta; Magnoliopsida; Solanales; Solanaceae.